UUUCAGAAAAAUAUAGUGUAUAAGAUAAAAUAAUCCCAAAAAAAUAAUUAAAGUGGCCUUAUUACAACCCAAAACAAAAUAAUAACUUAUAAAGAAAUAAUUCGGCUACUUAUUGCAAUUAAAAGAAACAGAAACAGUAGUGUGGCCAUCUCCGAGUCCCUCGCAGCUCCAAACCAUCUAAGCUUAGGGAUUACCUGCACAGUUAGAAACGGGGUAAGUUUAUGAAAACUCAGUGUGUAAUCCCCAACAACAAACAAAUAGUGAAUAACAUAGUGUAAGUACAAUCUGGGCCAAAGCCCUAUUCAGUAACAGUACAGUCUGGGCCUUAGCCCUUAAACAGUAGCAAUAUGAGCCUAAGCCCUAAUUCAGUCUCGACAUAUACUGGGCCGAAGCCUUUUCUGUAAACGGUAUGGCCCUUAGGCCCAUUUCAAUAUCACAUGUAAUAUCAAUGAAUGUAUGCAAGCCCAUUUGAGGAGACUACUCAACCCACCAUCCGCUACUCUCCACCCGUACCAACCAACACACCAUGUGGGGAACAACUCAACCCACUCAACCAAACUCUCCACUGGCAGCAUAGCUGCUUUAUCAUAUAACUAGAGGCCUAGCCUCUUUUAAUAACUGGGGCAAAGCCCUUUUUGAUAAACUGGGGCAAAGCCCUUUUCGAUAAACUGGGGCAUAGCCCUUUUAGCACUUCCUCCAUUUAUAAAACCCAACCCAUGCAACAUGUCAUGUAUGCAGAAUGUCAUGCCCAUAUUUGAAUCAAACAAUCACAGUCAAGUCAUUCAUAUCCCCAACAUAUAUUCAUAAUCAAAUCCAUCAACCACACAGUCCAAGUCAGUUACUUGCCCACAAGGGCAAAACAGUCAUUUUUCAUAUUAUAAGGGUAAAUUCAUAAUUUUACCAAAUAUCAUGGUUUUCCAUGUUCAUUAACAAUUAUCAAUAUUUCUGAGUGUUCAAACAAUGAUCUUUGACCCACUUUAUCAAAUUCGGGCUUUUGGGCCCAAAACCAUGGGCCUGCUUAAUCCAAAUUUUACAACAAUGCUAACCGUGUUAACAUGCAACUUUUCCAAAUUCCAUUUUCUAUCAAUUUUACCCAAAUGGGCCCAAAAGCCCAUUUGGCCCAAUUCCAGCCCAUUGAGGCCUAACUUACCAUCGUGCACAAAAUUGAGUUCUUACCCGUUCCAUCGAUCCAAACACCGAUCUUAUCGUAUUUAUCACAUCUAUACCCACACACAACAUUACAAGUUCCCAAAAUGCCGGUAUUUUAGCAUUUCGGCUUCUCAGCAGAUAUUAAUCUAAGCUACUACGAGGGUUAAUACACACUUGUUAUGGGUUGAAGUUGAAACGUUUCCAUAAUCAAUCACCUACGAUAACCACCACCUGUCACUCAAACUUAACUAAUCCAAUAUCAAUAUAUGUAAAUCCUAAGCACAUCAGUCAUACGGAACAUAAGGGCAUAUUCGUCAUUUUACCAUACAAGGGUAUUAUGAUCACUUUACCCUACAGGGGCUUUACGGUCUUUUUACCUAUUAGGGGUAUUUUAGUCAUUUCAUCCUAUAAGGGUGUUUUGGUAAAUCUACAAACCAAGGGUAUUUUAGUAAUUUUGUAAACCAAUGGUAUUUCUAUAAUUUUUAGAAAUUUAACGGCCUUUCUGUAAUUUUCUAAAUUAGGGGUAUUUUGGUAAUUUUACAAAUUGAGGGUAUUUCGGUAAUUUCACAAACUAGUGGUAUUUCGGUAAUUUUACAAACUAGGGGUAUUUUGAUAAUUUUACACACUAGGGGUAUUUUGGUAAUUCUAUCAUAUAGGGGUAUUUCAGUAAUUUCACAAUCGAGGGUAAAACAGUAAUUUUGUAAACUGAGGGUAAAAUGGUAAUUUUGUAAAUCGAGGGUAAAACGGUAAUUUUGUAAAUUGAGGGUAAAAUGGUAAUUCUAUAAAUCGAGGGUAAAACGGUAAUUUUGUAAAUCGAUGGUGAAACAGUAAUUCUAUAAAUCGAGGGUAAAAUGGUAAUUCUACAAAUCGAGGGCAUUUCAGUAAUUUGGUAAACUAAAGUAUUCUAAACAGGGAUAAUAAUACGAAUGGGCCUAAAGCCUAUUCUCGGCCCAAAUGGGCCCACACGCUCGUAUGGCCCUUUUAGCCCAAAUCUAGCCACAAAUAUGAGAUUCACCUAGCCUAGUCCAAUAUUUACUACACAAUCAAACAACUUAUCCAAUUGGGCCCAUAGGCCCAUUAGGCCCACAUGACCCCUUUUGGCCCAUCGCGGCCCGAAGUAGCCAUCCUACAGCUAGAGUAGCGAGAAAAUACACACCUGAUUGGAGAUUGGAGUUAAUCCACGCUCCGAGCACUCUUAGCCGGCGCCCAACCCAAACGAGCACGCCAUAUAGCGAAAGGGAUCAGCCAAGAAAGGU
RNAcentral lists this long non-coding RNA (2405 nucleotides) under Gossypium barbadense (sea-island cotton). RNAcentral describes it as "long non-coding RNA (GBAR_LNC008065)". Lineage: Eukaryota; Viridiplantae; Streptophyta; Magnoliopsida; Malvales; Malvaceae. The record is from RNAcentral.